CGGGGGAGGCGUGUCGUGCACCACUCGCCGAGCCAAUGGGAAGAGCGAUUGUUGGCAGGCAGAGACGCUUCCUUUAGAGCAGGUGAAAAGAGAGCAGUCUCCAGCCCUCCACCAGACUGUGGUGCCGAAAGAAUGGGCAGCUUUAUUUUCUGGAAGCCACUUUGCAAUGGCAAUGCUUAGAAGAAUCUAGGAUGUUUCAAGAAACUGAAAGUGCUAUGUGGACCAACUGCACAACUAUUAUACUAUUAUGUUGAAAGAUGUAAUUGGAAAGACUUUCCGGCUUCUGGGGUAUACCAUUCAGUACGGGUGCAUAGCCCAUUGUGUAUUUGAAUAUCUUGGAGGAAUUGUGAUGUGUACAGGACCUUCAAUGGAGCCUACAAUUCAAAAUUCUGACAUUGUAUUUUCAGAGAAUCUUAGCAGCCACUUAUAUCGUAUUCAGAAAGGUGAUAUUGUCAUUGCAAAAAACCCAGCUGAUCCCAAAACAAAUAUUUGUAAAAGAGUAAUGGGCCUGGAAGGAGAAAAAGUCUGUACAAGCAAUCCGGCAGAUUUUAUAAAGACCCACAGUUAUUUUCAACUGUUUAACAUUACAUCUGAUGAAGUUAGUUCUCAAGUCUUAAGGUCUCAUUGCUAUUUACAAAUGAAAGUUGUUACUUGAACAGAAGAAAGACAUGUCAUUUACUGCAGGCAAGAUCUAUACUAACAAAACUGCUUUAUGCAAAUAGCGAUAAAAAGCUGAUAAACAAUUUCAUUUCUCAGCAACAUUUCACUGAUGGUCAAUUACUGCACACUCUUAAUGCCCUAGCAACAGCUGAUAGAGAAAAAUGUUUACUCUGUGCUGAAGUUAAAUUCAUUCUGGAGAUGAGGUGCGCCAUCAUCCUGUGGCUAUAUCUAAAGCUAACAGUCUGAAAAUUGUGUUAUGUUUGAGAACAGGUCUUACUCAGCAAUUUGUGAUAACUAUAGAUUAAUUAGCCUUUAAUAGUCAGUACUUAAUAGGAUGUGGCCAAGUCAUUACCUUUAUUUCAGUAUUUUGGAAAAUAUUCCAAUUUAAAUUGGAUCUGAAGCAAAAUUUAAAAAAAUCAUCUCUGAAGAAUCACAUGAUAAUCACAGCACUUUCAAUCUGCAAACAAAAUAUUAUGUCCUUUCUCUUUCAGGCAGUCCAAUGUGUGAGUGAAAAGAGAAUAUGAGAAAUUGGUAUAGGGAAAGGAAAGCACCUGCAUCCUUCCCUUCACCUAUGCCUUGUGAACAAUGAGUACCUAAAGGACAUGUUUGGUUAGAAGGUGAUAAUCUCAGGAAUUCUACAGAUUCCAGGUGUUAUGGUCCUGUUCCAUAUGGAUUGAUAAGAGGACGAAUUUGCUUUAAG
Crotalus tigris (Tiger rattlesnake) is the source of this 1360-nucleotide RNA transcript. It is a transcript of the gene named inner mitochondrial membrane peptidase subunit 1, with no coding region annotated. The record is from RefSeq and is a predicted model, not a curated record. Lineage: Eukaryota; Metazoa; Chordata; Lepidosauria; Squamata; Viperidae. The transcript is spliced from 8 exons.